Molecule: unclassified non-coding RNA, 261 nt
Filed under: rhizosphere metagenome
Description: partial ribosomal RNA internal transcribed spacer region
Source: RNAcentral
CUAGGUGAACCUGCGGAAGGAUCAUUAACACGUAUCCGAUCGUUAAAACCCCCUGUGAACCUUCAGCACCAAUACAGGUCCUGCAAAUAGUUUGGGGUAAUUAGUAAAUCAUUGUCUGAAUCAGAGUGGCCGACACGGCCCUUUGAGCGGGUAACGGCUGCAACCAGAUGAAAAUCUGGCAUGACAUGAGGGAUGGCCGGCGCCGAAAGGUUAUAGGCACAAAAAAACGAACAAUUGUUAACAAUGGAUAUCUUGGAUCUC